GGUUGAUCCUGCCAGUAGUCAUAUGCUUGUCUUAAAGAUUAAGCCAUGCAUGUCUAAGUAUAAGCAUUUAUACGGCGAAACUGCGAAUGGCUCAUUAAAUCAGUUAUAGUUCAUUUGAUAAUACCUACACUACUUGGAUAACCGUAGUAAUUCUAGAGCUAAUACAUGCGAAAAACCCCGACUUUUCGGAAGGGGUGCAUUUGUUAGAUACAAAACCAAUGCGGCGGGGCAACUCGUCGGAACCUUGGUGAUUCAUGACAACUUUGCGAAUCGCAUGGCCUCUGAGCCGGCG
This 292-nucleotide ribosomal RNA is filed under the name uncultured eukaryote. RNAcentral describes it as "partial 18S ribosomal RNA". It matches the Rfam family "Eukaryotic small subunit ribosomal RNA", at positions 6 to 289 of the family's 1831-position model. The record is from RNAcentral.